Teleopsis dalmanni is the source of this 10453-nucleotide long non-coding RNA. RefSeq lists it as uncharacterized. Lineage: Eukaryota; Metazoa; Arthropoda; Insecta; Diptera; Diopsidae. The transcript is spliced from 25 exons. The record is from RefSeq and is a predicted model, not a curated record.
AUUCCUAUUUUUCAUCCAAGAAACUGAACAAAAUCUUAGAUGACAUCUUCAUUCGAACUCGAUGACAAACUUGAAUCUAAAUAUUACCAGAAUGCAUCACAUUCGUAGCCAAACUUUAAAGAGAAGAAAACUAAGAACAUGAUAUCCAGGAUAUUAGUUGACGCUUUUAAAGUAUUUUGUACUGACUUCCGAUUUACUUUAUAUUCAUUACGUCAUAGUCUUAAUCGGGAACCGUUUAACACAUAAAUUGAAUAUUGGAAGUCCUGUACACUAUGUGUGAGUAGAUAUGAUCUUAUAAAAUGUAAAAUAGACUGUGAGUAGUGGAUUUAGUCUGGGGAGUGCUUUAUUGUCCGAAGAAAGGAUCAAUUUUAAACUUAUCACUUACAACAUUUAAAUACAGAAAUAAUGGUUAACAAAAAGUCUUCUCAUUAGAAGACCAGAAAUUUGGAAACUUAACAAAAUAUUAGAUGACAUCUUCAUUCGAACUCGAUGACAAACUUGAUUCUAAAUAUUACCAGAAUGCAUCACAUUCGCAGCCAAACUUUAAAGAGAAGAAAACUAAGAACAUGAUAUCCAGGAUAUUAGUUGACGCUUUUAAAGUAUUUUGUACUGACUUCCGAUUUACUUUAUAUUCAUUACGUCAAAGUCUUAAUCGGGAACCGUUUAACACAUAAAUUGAAUAUUGGAAGUCCUGUACACUAUGUGUGAGUAGAUAUGAUCUUAUAAAAUGUAAAAUGGACUGUGAGUAUUGGAUUUAGUCUGAGGAGUGCCAUAUUAUCCGAAGAAAGGAUCAAUUUUAAACCUAUCACUUACAACAUUUAAAUACAGAAAUAAUGGUUAACAAAAAGUCUUCUCAUUAGAAGACUAGAAAUUUGGAAACUGAACAAAAUCUUAGAUGACAUCUUCAUUCGAACUCGAUGACAAACUUGAAUCUAAAUAUUACCAGAAUGCAUCACAUUCGUAGCCAAACUUUAAAGAGAAGAAAACUAAGAACAUGAUAUCCAGGAUAUUAGUUGACGCUUUUAAAGUAUUUUGUACUGACUUCCGAUUUACUUUAUAUUCAUUACGUCAAAGCCUUAACCGGAAACCGUUUAACACAUAAAUUGAAUAUUGAAAGUCCUGUACAUUAUGUGUGAGUAAAUAUGAUCUUAUAAAAUGUAAAAUGGACUGUGAGUAUUGGAUUUAGUCUGAGGAGUACCAUAUUAUCCGAAGAAAGGAUCAAUUUUAAACUUAUCACUUACAACAUUUAAAUACAGAAAUAAUGGUUAACAAAAAGUCUUCUCAUUAGAAGACCAGAAAUUUGGAAACUUAACAAAAUAUUAGAUGACAUCUUCAUUCGAACUCGAUGACAAACUUGAAUCUAAAUAUUACCAGAAUGCAUCACAUUCGUAGCCAAACUUUAAAGAGAAGAAAACUAAGAACAUGAUAUCCAGGAUAUUAGUUGACGCUUUUAAAGUAUUUUGUACUGACUUCCGAUUUACUUUAUAUUCAUUACGUCAAAGUCUUAACCGGAAACCGUUUAACACAUAAAUUGAAUAUUGAAAGUCCUGUACACUAUGUGUGAGUAAAUAUGAUCUUAUAAAAUGUAAAAUGGACUGUGAGUAUUGGAUUUAGUCUGAGGAGUACCAUAUUAUCCGAAGAAAGGAUCAAUUUUAAACUUAUCACUUACAACAUUUAAAUACAGAAAUAAUGGUUAACAAAAAGUCUUCUCAUUAGAAGACCAGAAAUUUGGAAACUUAACAAAAUAUUAGAUGACAUCUUCAUUCGAACUCGAUGACAAACUUGAAUCUAAAUAUUACCAGAAUGCAUCACAUUCGUAGCCAAACUUUAAAGAGAAGAAAACUAAGAACAUGAUAUCCAGGAUAUUAGUUGACGCUUUUAAAGUAUUUUGUACUGACUUCCGAUUUACUUUAUAUUCAUUACGUCAUAGUCUUAAUCGGGAACCGUUUAACACAUAAAUUGAAUAUUGGAAGUCCUGUACACUAUGUGUGAGUAAAUAUGAUCUUAUAAAAUGUAAAAUGGACUGUGAGUAUUGGAUUUAGUCUGAGGAGUGCCAUAUUAUCCGAAGAAAGGAUCAAUUUUAAACUUAUCACUUACAACAUUUAAAUACAGAAAUAAUGGUUAACAAAAAGUCUUCUCAUUAGAAGACUAGAAAUUUGGAAACUGAACAAAAUCUUAGAUGACAUCUUCAUUCGAACUCGAUGACAAACUUGAAUCUAAAUAUUACCAGAAUGCAUCACAUUCGUAGCCAAACUUUAAAGAGAAGAAAACUAAGAACAUGAUAUCCAGGAUAUUAGUUGACGCUUUUAAAGUAUUUUGUACUGACUUCCGAUUUACUUUAUAUUCAUUACGUCAAAGCCUUAACCGGAAACCGUUUAACACAUAAAUUGAAUAUUGAAAGUCCUGUACAUUAUGUGUGAGUAAAUAUGAUCUUAUAAAAUGUAAAAUGGACUGUGAGUAUUGGAUUUAGUCUGAGGAGUGCCAUAUUAUCCGAAGAAAGGAUCAAUUUUAAACCUAUCACUUACAACAUUUAAAUACAGAAAUAAUGGUUAUCAAAAAGUCUUCUCAUUAGAAGACCAGAAAUUUGGAAACUGAACAAAAUCUUAGAUGACAUCUUCAUUCGAACUCGAUGACAAACUUGAAUCUAAAUAUUACCAGAAUGCAUCACAUUCGUAGCCAAACUUUAAAGAGAAGAAAACUAAGAACAUGAUAUCCAGGAUAUUAGUUGACGCUUUUAAAGUAUUUUGUACUGACUUCCGAUUUACUUUAUAUUCAUUACGUCAUAGUCUUAAUCGGGAACCGUUUAACACAUAAAUUGAAUAUUGGAAGUCCUGUACACUAUGUGUGAGUAGAUAUGAUCUUAUAAAAUGUAAAAUGGACUGUGAGUAUUGGAUUUAGUCUGAGGAGUGCCAUAUUAUCCGAAGAAAGGAUCAAUUUUAAACCUAUCACUUACAACAUUUAAAUACAGAAAUAAUGGUUAACAAAAAGUCUUCUCAUUAGAAGACUAGAAAUUUGGAAACUGAACAAAAUCUUAGAUGACAUCUUCAUUCGAACUCGAUGACAAACUUGAAUCUAAAUAUUACCAGAAUGCAUCACAUUCGUAGCCAAACUUUAAAGAGAAGAAAACUAAGAACAUGAUAUCCAGGAUAUUAGUUGACGCUUUUAAAGUAUUUUGUACUGACUUCCGAUUUACUUUAUAUUCAUUACGUCAAAGUCUUAACCGGAAACCGUUUAACACAUAAAUUGAAUAUUGGAAGUCCUGUACACUAUGUGUGAGUAAAUAUGAUCUUAUAAAAUGUAAAAUGGACUGUGAGUAUUGGAUUUAGUCUGAGGAGUGCCAUAUUAUCCGAAGAAAGGAUCAAUUUUAAACUUAUCACUUACAACAUUUAAAUACAGAAAUAAUGGUUAACAAAAAGUCUUCUCAUUAGAAGACUAGAAAUUUGGAAACUGAACAAAAUCUUAGAUGACAUCUUCAUUCGAACUCGAUGACAAACUUGAAUCUAAAUAUUACCAGAAUGCAUCACAUUCGUAGCCAAACUUUAAAGAGAAGAAAACUAAGAACAUGAUAUCCAGGAUAUUAGUUGACGCUUUUAAAGUAUUUUGUACUGACUUCCGAUUUACUUUAUAUUCAUUACGUCAUAGUCUUAAUCGGGAACCGUUUAACACAUAAAUUGAAUAUUGGAAGUCCUGUACACUAUGUGUGAGUAGAUAUGAUCUUAUAAAAUGUAAAAUAGACUGUGAGUAGUGGAUUUAGUCUGGGGAGUGCUUUAUUGUCCGAAGAAAGGAUCAAUUUUAAACUUAUCACUUACAACAUUUAAAUACAGAAAUAAUGGUUAACAAAAAGUCUUCUCAUUAGAAGACCAGAAAUUUGGAAACUUAACAAAAUAUUAGAUGACAUCUUCAUUCGAACUCGAUGACAAACUUGAUUCUAAAUAUUACCAGAAUGCAUCACAUUCGCAGCCAAACUUUAAAGAGAAGAAAACUAAGAACAUGAUAUCCAGGAUAUUAGUUGACGCUUUUAAAGUAUUUUGUACUGACUUCCGAUUUACUUUAUAUUCAUUACGUCAAAGUCUUAAUCGGGAACCGUUUAACACAUAAAUUGAAUAUUGGAAGUCCUGUACACUAUGUGUGAGUAGAUAUGAUCUUAUAAAAUGUAAAAUGGACUGUGAGUAUUGGAUUUAGUCUGAGGAGUGCCAUAUUAUCCGAAGAAAGGAUCAAUUUUAAACCUAUCACUUACAACAUUUAAAUACAGAAAUAAUGGUUAACAAAAAGUCUUCUCAUUAGAAGACUAGAAAUUUGGAAACUGAACAAAAUCUUAGAUGACAUCUUCAUUCGAACUCGAUGACAAACUUGAAUCUAAAUAUUACCAGAAUGCAUCACAUUCGUAGCCAAACUUUAAAGAGAAGAAAACUAAGAACAUGAUAUCCAGGAUAUUAGUUGACGCUUUUAAAGUAUUUUGUACUGACUUCCGAUUUACUUUAUAUUCAUUACGUCAAAGCCUUAACCGGAAACCGUUUAACACAUAAAUUGAAUAUUGAAAGUCCUGUACAUUAUGUGUGAGUAAAUAUGAUCUUAUAAAAUGUAAAAUGGACUGUGAGUAUUGGAUUUAGUCUGAGGAGUACCAUAUUAUCCGAAGAAAGGAUCAAUUUUAAACUUAUCACUUACAACAUUUAAAUACAGAAAUAAUGGUUAACAAAAAGUCUUCUCAUUAGAAGACCAGAAAUUUGGAAACUUAACAAAAUAUUAGAUGACAUCUUCAUUCGAACUCGAUGACAAACUUGAAUCUAAAUAUUACCAGAAUGCAUCACAUUCGUAGCCAAACUUUAAAGAGAAGAAAACUAAGAACAUGAUAUCCAGGAUAUUAGUUGACGCUUUUAAAGUAUUUUGUACUGACUUCCGAUUUACUUUAUAUUCAUUACGUCAAAGUCUUAACCGGAAACCGUUUAACACAUAAAUUGAAUAUUGAAAGUCCUGUACACUAUGUGUGAGUAAAUAUGAUCUUAUAAAAUGUAAAAUGGACUGUGAGUAUUGGAUUUAGUCUGAGGAGUACCAUAUUAUCCGAAGAAAGGAUCAAUUUUAAACUUAUCACUUACAACAUUUAAAUACAGAAAUAAUGGUUAACAAAAAGUCUUCUCAUUAGAAGACCAGAAAUUUGGAAACUUAACAAAAUAUUAGAUGACAUCUUCAUUCGAACUCGAUGACAAACUUGAAUCUAAAUAUUACCAGAAUGCAUCACAUUCGUAGCCAAACUUUAAAGAGAAGAAAACUAAGAACAUGAUAUCCAGGAUAUUAGUUGACGCUUUUAAAGUAUUUUGUACUGACUUCCGAUUUACUUUAUAUUCAUUACGUCAUAGUCUUAAUCGGGAACCGUUUAACACAUAAAUUGAAUAUUGGAAGUCCUGUACACUAUGUGUGAGUAAAUAUGAUCUUAUAAAAUGUAAAAUGGACUGUGAGUAUUGGAUUUAGUCUGAGGAGUGCCAUAUUAUCCGAAGAAAGGAUCAAUUUUAAACUUAUCACUUACAACAUUUAAAUACAGAAAUAAUGGUUAACAAAAAGUCUUCUCAUUAGAAGACUAGAAAUUUGGAAACUGAACAAAAUCUUAGAUGACAUCUUCAUUCGAACUCGAUGACAAACUUGAAUCUAAAUAUUACCAGAAUGCAUCACAUUCGUAGCCAAACUUUAAAGAGAAGAAAACUAAGAACAUGAUAUCCAGGAUAUUAGUUGACGCUUUUAAAGUAUUUUGUACUGACUUCCGAUUUACUUUAUAUUCAUUACGUCAAAGCCUUAACCGGAAACCGUUUAACACAUAAAUUGAAUAUUGAAAGUCCUGUACAUUAUGUGUGAGUAAAUAUGAUCUUAUAAAAUGUAAAAUGGACUGUGAGUAUUGGAUUUAGUCUGAGGAGUGCCAUAUUAUCCGAAGAAAGGAUCAAUUUUAAACCUAUCACUUACAACAUUUAAAUACAGAAAUAAUGGUUAUCAAAAAGUCUUCUCAUUAGAAGACCAGAAAUUUGGAAACUUAACAAACACUUAGAUGACAACUUCAUUCGAACUCGAUGACAAACUUGAAUCUAAACAUUACCAGAAUACAUCACAUUCGUAGCCAAACUUUAAAGAGAAGAAAGCUUAAAACAUGAUAUCCAGGAUAUAGUUGACGCUUUUAAAGUAUUUUGUACUGACUUUCGAUUUACUUUAUAUUCAUUACGUCACAGUCUUAACCGGGAACCGUUUAACACAUAAAUUGAAUAUUGGAAGUCCUGUACACUAUAUGUGAGUAAAUAUGAUCUUAUAAAAUGUAAAAUGGACUGUGAGUAUUGGAUUUAGUCUGAGGAGUGCCAUAUUAUCCGAAGAAAGGAUCAAUUUUAAACUUAUCACUUACAACAUUUAAAUACAGAAGUAAUGGUUAACAGAAAUUCUUCUCAUUAGAAGACCAGAAAUUUCGAAACUUAACAAAAUCUUAGAUGACAACUUCAUUCGAACUCGAUGACAAACUUGAAUCUAAAUAUUACCAGAAUGCAUCACAUUCGUAGCCAAACUUUAAAGAGAAGAAAACUUAGAACAUGAUAUCCAGGAUAUUAGUUGACGCUUUUAAAGUAUUUUGUACUGACUUCCGAUUUACUUUAUAUUCAUUACGUCAAAGUCUUAACCGGGAACCGUUUAACAAUUAAAUUGAAUAUUGAAAGUCCUGUACAUUAUGUGUGAGUAGAUAUGAUCUUAUAAAAUGUGGAAUAGACUGUGAGUAGUGGAUUUAGUCUGGGAGUGCCAUAUUAUCCGAAGAAAGGAUCAAUUUUAAACCUAUCACUUACAACAUUUAAAUACAGAAGUAAUGGUUAACAGAAAUUCUUCUCAUUAGAAGACCAGAAAUUUGGAAACUUAACAAACACUUAGAUGACAACUUCAUUCGAACUCGAUGACAAACUUGAAUCUAAACAUUACCAGAAUACAUCACAUUCGUAGCCAAACUUUAAAGAGAAGAAAGCUUAAAACAUGAUAUCCAGGAUAUAGUUGACGCUUUUAAAGUAUUUUGUACUGACUUUCGAUUUACUUUAUAUUCAUUACGUCACAGUCUUAACCGGGAACCGUUUAACACAUAAAUUGAAUAUUGGAAGUCCUGUACACUAUAUGUGAGUAAAUAUGAUCUUAUAAAAUGUAAAAUGGACUGUGAGUAUUGGAUUUAGUCUGAGGAGUGCCAUAUUAUCCGAAGAAAGGAUUAAUUUUAAACCUAUCACUUACAACAUUUAAAUACAGAAGUAAUGGUUAACAGAAAUUCUUCUCAUUAGAAGACCAGAAAUUUGGAAACUUAACAAAAUCUUAGAUGACAACUUCAUUCGAACUCGAUGACAAACUUGAAUCUAAACAUUACCAGGAUACAUCACAUUCGUAGCCAAACUUUAAAGAGAAGAAAAUUUAGAACAUAAUAUCCAGGAUAUAGUUGACGCUUUUAAAGUAUUUUGUACUGACUUUCGAUUUACUUUAUAUUCAUUACGUCACAGUCUUAACCGGGAACCGUUUAACACAUAAAUUGAAUAUUGGAAGUCCUGUACACUAUAUGUGAGUAAAUAUGAUCUUAUAAAAUGUAAAAUGGACUGUGAGUAUUGGAUUUAGUCUGAGGAGUGCCAUAUUAUCCGAAGAAAGGAUUAAUUUUAAACCUAUCACUUACAACAUUUAAAUACAGAAAUAAUGGUUAACAGAAAUUCUUCUCAUUAGAAGACCAGAAAUUUGGAAACUUAACAAACACUUAGAUGACAACUUCAUUCGAACUCGAUGACAAACUUGAAUCUAAACAUUACCAGGAUACAUCACAUUCGUAGCCAAACUUUAAAGAGAAGAAAAUUUAAAACAUGAUAUCCAGGAUAUAGUUGACGCUUUUAAAGUAUUUUGUACUGAUUUCCGAUUUACUUUAUAUUCAUUACGUCAAAGUCUUAAUCGGGAACCGUUUAACAAUUGAAUUGAAUAUUGGAAGUCCUGUACACUAUGUGUGAGUAAAUAUGAUCUUAUAAAAUGUAAAAUGGACUGUGAGUAUUGGAUUUAGUCUGGGGAGUGCCAUAUUAUCCGAAGAAAGGAUUAAUUUUAAACCUAUCACUUACAACAUUUAAAUACACAAAUAAUGGUUAACAGAAAUUCUUCUCAUUAGAAGACCAGAAAUUUGGAAACUUAACAAAAUAUUAGAUGACAACUUCAUUCGAACUCGAUGACAAACUUGAAUCUAAACAUUACCAGGAUACAUCACAUUCGUAGCCAAACUUUAAAGAGAAGAAAAUUUAGAACAUAAUAUCCAGGAUAUAGUUGACGCUUUUAAAGUAUUUUGUACUGACUUCCGAUUUACUUUAUAUUCAUUACGUCAAAGUCUUAACCGGAAACCGUUUAACAAUUAAAUUGAAUAUUGAAAGUCCUGUACACUAUGUGUGAGUAAAUAUGAUCUUAUAAAAUGUAAAAUGGACUGUGAGUAUUGGAUUUAGUCUGAGGAGUGCCAUAUUAUCCGAAGAAAGGAUUAAUUUUAAACCUAUCACUUACAACAAUUAAAUACAGAAGUAAUGGUUAACAGAAAUUCUUCUCAUUAGAAGACCAGAAAUUUGGAAACUUAACAAAAUCUUAGAUGACAUCUUCAUUCGAACUCGAUGACAAACUUGAAUCUAAAUAUUACCAGAAUGCAUCACAUUCGUAGCCAAACUUUAAAGAGAAGAAAACUAAGAACAUGAUAUCCAGGAUAUUAGUUGACGCUUUUAAAGUAUUUUGUACUGACUUCCGAUUUACUUUAUAUUCAUUACGUCAAAGUCUUAACCGGAAACCGUUUAACACAUAAAUUGAAUAUUGAAAGUCCUGUACACUAUGUGUGAGUAAAUAUGAUCUUAUAAAAUGUAAAAUGGACUGUGAGUAUUGGAUUUAGUCUGAGGAGUGCCAUAUUAUCCGAAGAAAGGAUCAAUUUUAAACCUAUCACUUACAACAUUUAAAUACAGAAAUAAUGGUUAACAAAAAGUCUUCUCAUUAGAAGACCAGAAAUUUGGAAACUUAACAAAAUCUUAGAUGACAUCUUCAUUCGAACUCGAUGACAAACUUGAAUCUAAAUAUUACCAGAAUGCAUCACAUUCGUAGCCAAACUUUAAAGAGAAGAAAACUAAGAACAUGAUAUCCAGGAUAUUAGUUGACGCUUUUAAAGUAUUUUGUACUGACUUCCGAUUUACUUUAUAUUCAUUACGUCAAAGUCUUAAUCGGGAACCGUUUAACACAUAAAUUGAAUAUUGGAAGUCCUGUACAUUAUGUGUGAGUAAAUAUGAUCUUAUAAAAUGUAAAAUGGACUGUGAGUAUUGGAUUUAGUCUGAGGAGUGCCAUAUUAUCCGAAGAAAGGAUCAAUUUUAAACCUAUCACUUACAACAUUUAAAUACAGAAAUAAUGGUUAACAAAAAGUCUUCUCAUUAGAAGACCAGAAAUUUGGAAACUGAACAAAAUAUUAGAUGACAUCUUCAUUCGAACUCGAUGACAAACUUGAAUCUAAAUAUUACCAGAAUGCAUCACAUUCGUAGCCAAACUUUAAAGAGAAGAAAACUAAGAACAUGAUAUCCAGGAUAUUAGUUGACGCUUUUAAAGUAUUUUGUACUGACUUCCGAUUUACUUUAUAUUCAUUACGUCAUAGUCUUAAUCGGGAACCGUUUAACACAUAAAUUGAAUAUUGGAAGUCCUGUACACUAUGUGUGAGUAAAUAUGAUCUUAUAAAAUGUAAAAUGGACUGUGAGUAGUGGAUUUAGUCUGGGGAGUGCCAUAUUAUCCGAAGAAAGGAUCAAUUUUAAACCUAUCACUUACAACAUUUAAAUACAGAAAUAAUGGUUAUCAAAAAGUCUUCUCAUUAGAAGACCAGAAAUUUGGAAACUUAACAAAAUAUUAGAUGACAUCUUCAUUCGAACUCGAUGACAAACUUGAAUCUAAAUAUUACCAGAAUGCAUCACAUUCGUAGCCAAACUUUAAAGAGAAGAAAACUAAGAACAUGAUAUCCAGGAUAUUAGUUGACGCUUUUAAAGUAUUUUGUACUGACUUCCGAUUUACUUUAUAUUCAUUACGUCAUAGUCUUAAUCGGGAACCGUUUAACACAUAAAUUGAAUAUUGGAAGUCCUGUACACUAUGUGUGAGUAGAUAUGAUCUUAUAAAAUGUAAAAUAGACUGUGAGUAGUGGAUUUAGUCUGGGGAGUGCUUUAUUGUCCGAAGAAAGGAUCAAUUUUAAACCUAUCACUUACAACAUUUAAAUACAGAAAUAAUGGUUAUCAAAAAGUCUUCUCAUUAGAAGACCAGAAAUUUGGAAUUCAAAGAAUCUCUCUUUUGGUUUGGCUAUCAAUAAAAUCACUUGGAUGUAGUCCCUAAACCUAAGCGGAAUUCAAAGAAUCCCUCUUUUGAUGAAUGAAAUCACAGGGAUAAUUGUCAACAUUUUUAUAAUUUGAACUACGCGUAUAUAUAAUACAUAUAUUUU